AUACGGCCACAUCAUAUUGAAACACCUGUUCUUGUACGAGCAACGAAGUUACGCAACAUCGAGCCUGGUCAAUAUUUAGAUGGGUGACCGCUUGGAAAUACCUGGUACUGUAAG
Molecule: non-coding RNA, 114 nt
Organism: Acanthosepion pharaonis
Lineage: Eukaryota; Metazoa; Mollusca; Cephalopoda; Sepiida; Sepiidae
Source: the annotation of a GenBank genome assembly